UGCAGUGUAGCUUAAAUGGUAAAGCCCCAAGUUCAUACCUUGGUAAAUGCGGGUUCAAAUCCCGCUACUGCCACCA
Molecule: transfer RNA, 76 nt
Filed under: Microcoleus sp. CSU_2_2
Lineage: Bacteria; Bacillati; Cyanobacteriota; Cyanophyceae; Oscillatoriales; Microcoleaceae
Also listed under: 1 other name
Description: tRNA-Met
Rfam family: tRNA
About the family: Transfer RNA (tRNA) molecules are approximately 80 nucleotides in length. Their secondary structure includes four short double-helical elements and three loops (D, anti-codon, and T loops).
Source: RNAcentral